Molecule: ribosomal RNA, 1975 nt
Filed under: human gut metagenome
Description: bacterial LSU rRNA
Rfam family: Bacterial large subunit ribosomal RNA
Source: RNAcentral
UUAAGUAAGUAAGGGCGUACGGCGGAUGCCUUGGCCAUAUCAGCCGAAGAAGGACGCGAUAAGCUGCGAUAAGCUGCGGUGAGGUGCAAGUAACCAGUGACCCGCAGAUUUCCGAAUGGGGAAACCCGGCAGUAGUAGUACUGUCACCUCUCUUUGAGAGGAGGGCACCCGGUGAACUGAAACAUCUAAGUAGCCGGAGGAAGAGGAAUCAAAAGAGAUGCCCCCAGUAGCGGCGAGCGAAGCGGGCAAAGCCCAAACCGGAGCGGGAAACCGCACCGGGGUUGAGGACUACCAACAAGUACCUAGAUGAAGUCGAAUCAGGUGGGAACCUGAGCCAGAGACGGUGAGAGCCCGGUAGACGUAAAGAAGGGUAUGGGGUAGUAUCCGGAGUACCACGGGGCACGAGGAACCUUGUGGGAAGCAGGGGGGACCACCCUCCAAGGCGAAAUACUGAUAUGGACCGAUAGCGCAUAGUACCGUGAGGGAAAGGUGAAAAGAACCCCGGGAGGGGAAUGAAAGAGAACCUGAAACCGUAUGUCUACAAGCAGUCGAAGCACCGUAUGCGUGCGACGGCGUGCCUAUUGAAGAAUGAACCGGCGAGUUAUUUCAUCCGGCGAGGUUAAGCGGAAAACGCGGAGCCGAAGCGAAAGCGAGUCUGAACAGGGCGAUAAGUCGGAUGGAAUAGACCCGAAACCACAGUGAUCUAUCCAUGCCCAGGUUGAAGCACAGGUAAAAAUGUGUGGAGGACCGAACCAGUGAGCGUUGAAAAGCUUUUGGAUGAGGUGUGGAUAGGGGUGAAAUGCCAAUCGAACGUGGAGAUAGCUGGUUCUCCCCGAAAUAGCUUUAGGGCUAGCCUCAUGGCAAGAGUGCAGGCGGUAGAGCACUGAACAGGGUAGGGGCCUAUCCGGCUACCGAACCUAAUCAAACUACGAAUGGCUGUACUUAUCCAUGGGAGUCAGACUGCGAGUGAUAAGACCCGUAGUCAAGAGGGAAACAGCCCAGACCAACAGCUAAGGUCCCCAAUGCCGUACUAAGUGGUAAAGGAUGUGGAGUUUCGAAAACAACCAGGAUGUUGGCUUAGAAGCAGCCACCAUUAAAAGAGUGCGUAAUAGCUCACUGGUCGAGAGACUCUGCGCCGAAGAUGACCGGGGCUAAAGUACGGAACCGAAGCUUUGGCAUGUAUGUAAAUACAUGGGUAGGGGAGCGUUCCUGCAUGGGCGAAGCCUGACCGGAAGGACAGGUGGACAGGCAGGAAGUGAGAAUGCCGGUAUGAGUAGCGAAAAGAAAGGUGAGAAUCCUUUCCACCGAAAGCCUAAGGGUUCCUGGGCAACGAUCGUCGACCCAGGGUAAGUCGGGACCUAAUCCGAGGCGAAGACGCAUAGGAGAUGGACAACAGGUUGAAAUUCCUGUACCGACGUCGUCUGUUUGAGCGAUGGAGUGACACAAGAAGGAAAGUUCGCAUGCGAUUGGAAGAGCAUGUCUAAGCAGGUAGGUUGAAUACCAGGCAAAUCCGGUAUUCUAAAAGCCGAGACGUGAUAGGGAGCCUGUAGAGAUACAGGUGAAGGAACCGGGACUCAAUUGUCAAGAAAAGCUUCUAGUGAGGACGACGCCGCCCGUACCAAAACCGACACAGGUAGGCAAGAAGAGAAUUCUAAGGUGCGCGGGAAAACCCUCGUUAAGGAACUCGGCAAAAUGUAUCCGUAACUUCGGGAAAAGGAUAACCCAGAGUACGUGAAGGAAAGAAACAUCCGGAGCGGGAAUGGGUGGCACAAGAGAGGCCCAAGCGACUGUUUACCACAAACACAGGCGUCUGCUAAAGAGAAAUCUGAUGUAUAGAUGCUGACACCUGCCCGGUGCUGGAAGGUUAAGAGGACGUGUUAGCCGCAAGGCGAAGCAGAGAAUUGAAGCCCCAGUAAACGGCGGCCGUAACUAUAACGGUCCUAAGGUAGCGAAAUUCCUUGUCGGGUAAGUUCCG